GAUUAGCUCAGUUGGUAGAGCAACUGACUCUUAAUCAGUGGGUCUAGGGUUCGAGUCCCU
RNAcentral lists this transfer RNA (60 nucleotides) under bovine gut metagenome. It matches the Rfam family "tRNA", at positions 8 to 62 of the family's 71-position model. Rfam says of the family: Transfer RNA (tRNA) molecules are approximately 80 nucleotides in length. The record is from RNAcentral.